Molecule: ribosomal RNA, 406 nt
Filed under: uncultured bacterium
Lineage: Bacteria
Description: partial 16S ribosomal RNA
Rfam family: Bacterial small subunit ribosomal RNA
Source: RNAcentral
AUUGAACGCUGGCGGCAGGCCUAACACAUGCAAGUCGAACGAGUGGCGGACGGGUGAGUAAUGUCUGGGAAACUGACUGAUGGAGGGGGAUAACUACGGGAAACGGUAGCUAAUACCGGAUAACAUAGGAUGUGCCAAGAUGGGAUUAGCUAGUAGGUGGGGUAAAGGCUCACCUAGGCGACUAUCCCUAGCGGGGUUGAGAGGAUGACCAGCCACACUUGAACUGAGACAUGGUCCAGACGCCUACGGGCGGCAGCAGUGGGAAAUAUUGCACAAUGGGCGCAAGCCUGAUCCAGCCAUGCCGCGUGUAUUAAGAAUGCCUUCUGGUUGUAAAGUACUUUCUGCUGGGAGGCUUUGCCCGCAGAAGAAGCACCGGCUAACUCCGUGCCAGCAGCCGCGGUAAUUC